CCUACGGGGGGCAGCAGUGGGGAAUAUUGGACAAUGGGGGCAACCCUGAUCCAGCCAUGCCGCGUGUGUGAAGAAGGCCCUCGGGUUGUAAAGCACUUUCAGUGAGGAAGAACGCCUGGUGGUUAAUACCCAUCAGGAAAGACAUCACUCACAGAAGAAGCACCGGCUAACUCCGUGCCAGCAGCCGCGGUAAUACGGAGGGUGCGAGCGUUAAUCGGAAUUACUGGGCGUAAAGCGCGCGUAGGUGGCUUGAUAAGCCGGUUGUGAAAGCCCCGGGCUCAACCUGGGAAAGGCAUCCGGAACUGUCAAGCUAGAGUGCAGGAGAGGAAGGUAGAAUUCCCGGUGUAGCGGUGAAAUGCGUAGAGAUCGGGAGGAAUACCAGUGGCGAAGGCGGCCUUCUGGACUGACACUGACACUGAGGUGCGAAAGCGUGGGUAGCAAACAGGAUUAGAUACCCCAGUAGUC
Molecule: ribosomal RNA, 465 nt
Filed under: Vreelandella stevensii
Lineage: Bacteria; Pseudomonadati; Pseudomonadota; Gammaproteobacteria; Oceanospirillales; Halomonadaceae
Description: partial 16S ribosomal RNA
Rfam family: Bacterial small subunit ribosomal RNA
Source: RNAcentral